GCCCCCUUAGCUCAGGGGAUAGAGCAACUGCCUUCUAAGCAGUGGGCCGCCCGUUCGAAUCGGGCAGGGGGCGCCA
RNAcentral lists this transfer RNA (76 nucleotides) under Pseudomonadota bacterium. RNAcentral's name for it is "tRNA-Arg". It matches the Rfam family "tRNA". From Rfam's summary of the family: Transfer RNA (tRNA) molecules are approximately 80 nucleotides in length. Their secondary structure includes four short double-helical elements and three loops (D, anti-codon, and T loops). Lineage: Bacteria; Pseudomonadati; Pseudomonadota. RNAcentral also lists the same sequence under 1 other name. The record is from RNAcentral.